This 693-nucleotide ribosomal RNA is filed under the name uncultured bacterium. RNAcentral describes it as "bacterial SSU rRNA". It matches the Rfam family "Bacterial small subunit ribosomal RNA", at positions 111 to 823 of the family's 1533-position model. The record is from RNAcentral.
UAACGCGUGGGUAACCUGGCCCAUACAGGGGGAUAACACUUAGAAAUAGGUGCUAAUACCGCAUAACAACAGAAAGCGCAUGCUUUUUGUUUGAAAACCAAGGUGGUAUGGGAUGGACCCGCGUCUGAUUAGCUGGUUGGCGGGGUAAAGGCCCACCAAGGCGACGAUCAGUAGCCGGCCUGAGAGGGUGGACGGCCACAUUGGGACUGAGACACGGCCCAAACUCCUACGGGAGGCAGCGGUGGGGAAUAUUGCACAAUGGGGGAAACCCUGAUGCAGCGACGCCGCGUGAGUGAAGAAGUAAUUCGUUAUGUAAAGCUCUAUCAGCAGGGAAGAAAAUGACGGUACCUGAGUAAGAAGCCCCGGCUAACUACGUGCCAGCAGCCGCGGUAAUACGUAGGGGGCAAGCGUUAUCCGGAUUUACUGGGUGUAAAGGGAGCGUAGACGGCAGUGCAAGUCUGGAGUGAAGGGCGGGGGCUCAACCCCCGGACUGCUCUGGAAACUGUACGGCUGGAGUGCAGGAGAGGUAAGUGGAAUUCCUAGUGUAGCGGUGAAAUGCGUAGAUAUUAGGAGGAACACCAGUGGCGAAGGCGGCUUACUGGACUGUAACUGACGUUGAGGCUCGAAAGCGUGGGGAGCAAACAGGAUUAGAUACCCUGGUAGUCCACGCCGUAAACGAUGAUCACUAGGUGU